Long non-coding RNA from Cebus imitator (Panamanian white-faced capuchin), 3251 nucleotides. RefSeq lists it as uncharacterized. The record is from RefSeq and is a predicted model, not a curated record. NCBI's taxonomy places the organism in Eukaryota, Metazoa, Chordata, Mammalia, Primates, Cebidae. The transcript has 3 exons.
UCCGCUCCGACCAGGCCAUGGAAGAAAAACCUGUGCGAUGCCUCCCCACGUCUCGGGCCUCUGACCUGCCUUUGCCAUCAGAGUUUGCAGAACUUUGGGGGACCUGAGAAGGGGUGUCCCCUGGACAGGACACGGGUGUCUGUGGCUUACAGGGUUUUGGAAGGACAGGGAGAGGGAAACGGGAUCCCAGGGGCCUGCUUCAGGGCCACCCAGCCGCCCUCGCCCCACACAACUCUCUCUGAUCCCGCUUGUCCGUCCAGCCUGGGGGGGAAACGCGCACGUGCUGUGAUCUCAAGAGGGCUUGGCGUUUUAUUUGGAAGAUAGGCAUCUACUUGCAGCUGGCCUGAGCCCCUUAUUUUCUUCCCACCUUUCUUGGGAAACUUAUUUUUAAGGGAGGUGUGCCACGGUUUUUGUAACACGGUGCUCUUAGCUCAGCAUUCGCGGUGCUGUUGUAACCGUCCAGUGGGUUCACCUUGCCUGCUGCCUGGAUAGAGACGAUUAUCAAGACGAGGGAAUUGCAAUGGAGAAAGAGAUUCAUGCAGAGGCGGCUGUGCAGAAGACGGGAGUUUUGUUACUACUCAAAUCUGUCUCCUCAUAUCCGUCUCUGGGAGCAUUCAGGGAUCAGACUUUUUAAAGAUGAGUUAGCAGAAGGGACAUGGGAAGUGGGCAGUGCUGAUUAGUCAGGUUGGAGAUAGAAUCACAGGAGGUCAAAAUGAGUUUUUUUUUUUUUUUUUGCUUUCUUCUGUUCUUGGGUGGGAUGGCAGAAUUGGUUGGGCCAGAUUACAGGUCUGGGUAGUGUCAGGUGAUCCAUGGAGUGCAGGGUCUGCAAAAUAUCUCAAGCACUGACCUUAGGUUUUACAAUACUGAUGCUAUCCCCAGGAACAAUCUGGGGAGAUUCAGACUGUUGGAGCCAGAGACUGCAUGACCCCUAAACUGUAAUUUCUAAUCUUGUAGCUAAUUUGUUAGUCCUGCAAAGGCAUACACUUUCUUUCCUUUUUUUCUUUUCUUUUCUCUUUCUUUCUCUUUCUUUCUUUCCUUCCCUCCUUCUUUCCUUUCCUUUCCUUUUUCCUUUCCUUUCCUUUCCUUUGUCCUUUCCUUUCCUUCUUUCUUCUUUCCUUUCUUUCUCUUUCUUUUUCUUUUUCCGUCCUGGAAGCAGUGCACCACUAAACCUUCUAAAUUACAGUGUUGAUUACUAAUACACCAUUGCACAGUUACUUUCAUGGGUCCCCAGUGGCUGUAUCCAUGGCCAUUUACUGUCACUAACCUACCUUUGUAAUAUCAUUGUUACCAAUUUUUACACUUUUCUUCUGAUGCAUUUAAUGUGUGCUAUUUUAUUUUUUUUAAUACAGGUAUUGUUUUCUGUAUUUUUAAUACAGGUAUUAUUCAGUAAAUACUUUUAUUUAGCAUAGUGAACAGUUAUAUAUCACGAGUGUAUACUUAAUUCUCACAAAGUGAGCACCAUCCAUACAACCACUACUCUUCUUAUGAAAUAGAAUUUUACCAGCAGUGUCAAACCCUUUUGGACCUUGCCAGUCACCUUUUUCCUUCCUGUUUCACAAAAUAAUCUUCACAGAUACUUUUAUCUGUUUUAAACUUUAUAUAAGUGUAACAGUUCAAGGUGUAUGCAGUAGUGUCUGAGUUCUUGUGCUAAAUACUAUGUUUUUGAGUUCAUCCAUGGCGUUACCUAUAGUAGGAAUUUCUUCCUGUUUAUUGUUGUAUAUUAUUUCAUAGUAUUAAUAUGCAAUAUGUCUCCAUUCUACUUGUAAUGGGAAUUUGAGUUUCCAGGUUUGCUACAAGUAAUGCUAUUAUGACCACUUUGUGCAUGUUCUUUUGUGUAUAUAUGUGUGUUUCAUGGGGAAAUAUACUUGAGUAGAAUUACUAGAUCAGGAUUUGGUUAUGUUUAACUUUGGUAGUUAUGUCAGAGAGUAUUACAUAGAUACUCUAUGUUGUUAGAUUUGUUCUCCUACCAGCACUGUAUUAGAGUUCCGGUAGUAGCACAUUCCCCUAAAAAUAUUUAUAUUAGUCUUUUUGUUUUAGCCAUCAUAGUGGAUGUUUAGUGAUAUCUAUAAGGUUUUUUUCUUGUGUCCAGUGUUAUCCCUGAAUCUGGUAAUCUUUGAAUUAUCUCCUCAUAUCUGGUGAUAUUUUAAUUUUUCCUUAUCCAGAGCAUUCCGUGAGUUCAUGGUAAGAGUUAAGCAAAUCAUUUCAACGUCACCACAUACCAAACCGUUGAUGGCUCGGUUUCAGCUUCCUUUCUAAAGGCAUUUUCUAAUCUGUUCUGCUAAGCUGCAAGAUGACAGCUGCAGAGACUUCACAGAAAAUGUUAAAAGUAGACCUUGCAUUUAGAGAUGGCUUGGAAGAGGGAGAAUCUGGUAAAACUCUGCAAAGAAAAUGCCUAGCACUUAUGUCUCCAGUAACUCCUGUCAAGGUUUAUUGUUGCCUGUUCAUCAUUGCAGUUCUGACUACAAGUGUGGUUGCACUUUGUAUUGUUUUGUCGGGUAAGUUACUUGUUCUCCAAACUGUACAAUGUUAUUUACAUGUUUAUGUUGUCAAUAAAUAUUUAUUAAGCUCCAUUAUUUGCCUGUCACUGUGUGAAAUGCUUGAAUUACAUCAACAAACAAAACACACACAAAAGAAUCCCUGCUCUUCAGGGACUUAUAUUCCAGCAGAAAAACGCAAGUGAUAAUCAAUAAGGGUGGAGGCGUAACAGAUUGCAAUAGGUUGACAAAGCUAAGCCUCCUUGGAAGAUGAUAUUUCAGCAGCGUUUUGAAAGAGAUGUAGGAACCAUGUGGCUACCUGGGGAACCUAUUCCAGACAGAACCUGUGGACCAAAAGCCUAAAGGAGGACUCUUCCUGGCUUGUUUGAGGAACAGCAAGGGGACUUCUGUAGGUGAAGCAGAGUGAGGAUGGAGAAGAGUGAUACCAUGGGGCAUUAGGAAUGGAGGAACCUUGAGGAUCAGUUAAAGACUUUGGCUUUUACCUUCAGUGCAAUAGGGAGCCUUGGAUGAGGGAAAUUGUAUGAGAGGAAUAUCGUGAUGUGACUUCCAUUGUAGAAUAAUCACUUGAUUGCUGUAUUGGGACUAGGUGGGGGAGGGUGGUCAGAUUCUGGAUAUUUGGAAAGCUGGGCCAACAGUAUUUUUUAUCAAAUUGGAUAAAAAGUCUUAGAAAGAGAAAAGUAAAAGAUAAGUCUCUCUUUUCUUUUGAGCCUUGGCAAGAAUACACUUGCCAUUCAGUGAUAUGAGAAAGCUAUGGGG